AUGUUGAUUCCAUACCUGUUCCUAAGCGGUGUUCUCAUACUCCGAUGUGAAUACCAAUCCUUCUUGAUCAUUGAGUUUGUCAUCUCAAUGUCUUUUCAACCGGUGUGUUUCUCUUCAAGUGGAUCCGAUCAUUUCAACAUCCGCAAGAUCAACUCAAGUCUUUUUAACGGUGUUGUUCCAUCCGUCCCAAAUUGCCUUUGUUUUCCCACCCUCCCACCCUUUUCCUUCGAGGACUCGGAUUUCUUUAUCAAGUAUCUACCUUAUGGAUAUGAAGUCUCUCCAUUCUUUUCUGUCAUUGUUCUUACCCGGUGUUUCUCUUGA
Molecule: ribosomal RNA, 321 nt
Filed under: Triticum aestivum (bread wheat)
Lineage: Eukaryota; Viridiplantae; Streptophyta; Magnoliopsida; Poales; Poaceae
Description: partial small subunit ribosomal RNA
Source: RNAcentral